Molecule: ribosomal RNA, 259 nt
Filed under: uncultured bacterium
Lineage: Bacteria
Description: partial 16S ribosomal RNA
Rfam family: Bacterial small subunit ribosomal RNA
Source: RNAcentral
UCGACCUACGGGAGGCAGCAGUGGGGAAUAUUGGGCAAUGGGCGCAAGCCUGACCCAGCAACGCCGCGUGAGGGAAGAAGGCUUUCGGGUUGUAAACUUCUUUUCUCAGGGACGAAGCAAGUGACGGUACCUGAGGAAUAAGCCACGGCUAACUACGUGCCAGCAGCCGCGGUAAUACGUAGGUGGCAGGCGUUAUCCGGAUUUACUGGGUGUAAAGGGCGUGUAGGCGGGAAAGCAAGUCAGAUGUGAAAACCACGGG